Molecule: long non-coding RNA, 1217 nt
Organism: Rosa chinensis
Lineage: Eukaryota; Viridiplantae; Streptophyta; Magnoliopsida; Rosales; Rosaceae
Exons: 9
Source: RefSeq, a predicted model, not a curated record
CUACGCAUGAAUACCCACUCCCAAACUGAAGCUAAUUUCUCCAUUUCAAGCACCGUCGUCAUCAUCGACACCUUCAUCCGGUCUCUUGCUCCCGCAAACUUUUAAGAUCUCUCUCAUGGGUUUAAAUUUUCUUCAACGAGAUUUUUAUGGGUUUAAUUUCUCAAUUAGGGUUUUAAUUUCAGUUCUGGGUUUAAUUUCAGAUCGAAUAGCUGAUGGUGAAAAUCUUUCAUUCCUUUUUUUUUUUUUUUGGUAGCUUUAACUGUACCAAUCUACUGAUUUAUCCAUAUCAUCUCUCGGGUCAUUUCUGAGUCCUAUGACGAUUGAAGGUGUUGGGUUUCUUUUGUUUCAUAUAAGGCUAACUUCUUGAAACUAGUUUAAAAUGGUUGAUAGCAACACAUCAUCUACAAAGGAAAAAGUUCCCAAGGAUAUUUCAAAACCUCUUGUCCUGCUUCUAUUCCCUAUACUCACUACUGUUCCCAUCCUUGGAGAAUGUCCUAAGGCAUACUGGGGAACUAUAGAGAAUAAUAGGUCGAGAAUGAUGUGGUUGCCCGUGCUUUCAUUUUGUGUUGGGACAAAGAGAGCUCAACCUUUGCAUGAUGGACAAGUUAAGUGACCCCAGUUAAUGAAGCUCACAAUUGGUAAUACUUUCAUAUUUCGUCUGGUGCAGGGCUUAGCAUACUGUAAAUGGUAAUUGAUGAGUAGAAGAGGGAUUGCUUCCAAGAAAUUCUGUGUCGUAAAGGUGAAAUGGCAGCAGCUCAAAAGAGAUUUGAAUUUUGUAAUUAAGAAGUGUGAAGAUGAAAAGGAAAUCCUAAGAGUUGGGUCAUCUGUGAUCACUUGGGUUCGAGAACUGAGUGUUUACUGCUGGUGUGUUUGUGUCAUGUGCAUGCACAUGCGUGGGUUUAUAUAAUUACUACAAGUAAAGAGGUGAGAGAUUGCAUUUGUGUUUGGAGUGGAAGUUGAGCAAUGGAGUCUUCACAGAGGUAUAUUUUGGGGAAUAGCUGCACCACUAUAUGCGAUUGCAAGAACGGACAGUAAGCAGUGAUGCUGACAAAUUGUCUCAAGUUUCUGUUUCAAACGCCUUUAGGCGUCGUUUGUAUGGAUCUGGAACUAGAUGUGUUUGUAACUUUGUAUGGAUCUGGAACUAGAGGUGUUCUGUGAUCAAGUGAAAUACUGCUAAAUUGCAAUUUUUGAUGUACAAAGGAACCAAUUGUUUUUAA